Molecule: transfer RNA, 100 nt
Filed under: Pseudocercospora fijiensis CIRAD86
Lineage: Eukaryota; Fungi; Ascomycota; Dothideomycetes; Mycosphaerellales; Mycosphaerellaceae
Rfam family: tRNA
About the family: Transfer RNA (tRNA) molecules are approximately 80 nucleotides in length. Their secondary structure includes four short double-helical elements and three loops (D, anti-codon, and T loops).
Source: Rfam by way of RNAcentral
GCUCUCCUAGCUCAGUGGUAGAGCGUGGGAUUGCAGAACCCUGCGAUUGCAGACUCCUGCGAUUAUCCUAAGGUCACUUGUUCGAACCAGGUGGGGAGCU